This 305-nucleotide ribosomal RNA is filed under the name uncultured bacterium. RNAcentral describes it as "bacterial SSU rRNA". It matches the Rfam family "Bacterial small subunit ribosomal RNA", at positions 334 to 656 of the family's 1533-position model. The record is from RNAcentral.
UUUGCCUACGGGACGCAGCAGUGGGGAAUAUUGCACAAUGGGGGGAACCCUGAUGCAGCGACGCCGCGUGGGUGAAGAAGUCAUUCGUGACGUAAAGCCCUAUCAGCAGGGAAGAAAAUGACGGUACCUGACUAAGAAGCCCCGGCUAACUACGUGCCAGCAGCCGCGGUAAUACGUAGGGGGCAAGCGUUAUCCGGAUUUACUGGGUGUAAAGGGAGCGUAGACGGCGGCGCAAGUCCGGAGUGAAAGCCCACGGCCCAACCGUGGGACUGCUCUGGAAACUGCCAGGCUGGAGUGCAGGAGCG